This 69-nucleotide transfer RNA is filed under the name Shinisaurus crocodilurus (Chinese crocodile lizard). RNAcentral's name for it is "tRNA-His". It matches the Rfam family "tRNA". From Rfam's summary of the family: Transfer RNA (tRNA) molecules are approximately 80 nucleotides in length. Lineage: Eukaryota; Metazoa; Chordata; Lepidosauria; Squamata; Shinisauridae. The record is from RNAcentral.
GUAAGGGUAGUUUAAAAAAAACACUAGACUGUGGCUCUAAACAUAGAAGCUAAAGACUUCUCCCAGACC